Molecule: long non-coding RNA, 11622 nt
Filed under: Ananas comosus (pineapple)
Lineage: Eukaryota; Viridiplantae; Streptophyta; Magnoliopsida; Poales; Bromeliaceae
Description: long non-coding RNA (ACOM_LNC010151)
Source: RNAcentral
UUUUUAAAAUUUAAAUUCAUCGUAUUUAGAAAUAAAACUAUUUCUAAAAUUUCUAUAAUUUAAAUUAAUGCAUAAUUUGAGAAACACUAAAACAUUUAAAGUAGAUUCCUAAAUUAAUGCCUAAUAAUUUCAUAAAUUUGGUUAAUCAAUUAAUUUCCUAAAUUAGUACUAAUUAAUGCAUAAAUUUAGGACCUCAAUUAAAAGUUUCUUUAAAUAUUGUAUUAUUUAAUUACCAAAUUAACCUUGAAUAAAAUAAUCCUUUUAUCUGCUAAGUAUUAAAGUUACAUUUUUACCCUCUAUUAAUCAACGGUUAAGAUCUUUUUUAUUUAUUUUUUUAAAAAGUACCGAAUCAUUUCUCUUCAAUUAAAGGUAUCAUCAAUAAUAGUAUCUAUUCCUCUGUUGGCCAAAACUACUGUUGUCACCCCUCAAUUCCAUAGCAGAAGCUCACGAGAUCGACAACAUACCGCCGUAUGAUCCUACACUUCCGGGCACCCACAAAGCCUUCUGGGCUUUCGAAACUACUCUUAAACUCAAGUUUUACCUAACUUUAAUUUUCAAGUUCGUUUUCGCGUCUAUUUUGCUAGUCAGUCCAACACUCUCCAGAAAUGCUAGUCAGCAUCCCAUAUUGCAACCUUGCAAUUUGUGAAAGUAUGGUAUUUUACACCUCUAUCUCUCAUGGUUCCAUCUUCCUUUUAUAGCCCCGGGAAUCAAAUAUGGAGCAGCUAUAAUUGUGAGAUUACUACACUCCUUUCAAAAACUGCUAUCUAAUCUCAAGCGUAUCGUCUACUGUUUGAACUUCAAAUUCUUCGGCGCACAUCUAGUUGUGAAUUUUCAGGCCUCCCCAAAGGUUCUAUCGGAAAUCACUUUUUUGCGCAUCCUAUCUUAUCAAAAUCAAGGUCUUUUGCCAAAGCCGGUCUCUAGCUGAAACAACCAUUAGCACAACAGUCCAUUGAAACUUAAGCCUUAUAUCGAAGCCCUUUUUGACACUACAUAUUUAAUUUUCUCGAAUUCGUCCUUUUCUGGGUAACAAAAUUAGGUGUUAGCAGUAAUUUUUUUAUUAUUAUUCUCGAUUAUUUGAGACCCAUGUAAUAGGAUAAAGACUAUCCUAUAGCAUAUAAAUUGCACUUAUUAAUUCUAUCAAACUGAUAUGCAUUCUAGAAUGAGAAAGCUCGUUCAAGAAUAAUUUAGUAAUCUUUAAUUAGAAAUAAAAUGGACAAAAGUUUUUGUACUUGUAUAUUUGCAUAAGGUAAAAUUAUUUGAUUUAAUGAUAUCUUUCUAAUUUUUAGGCACAGAACAAUACUAGCUAUUUGACACAUAGUUAGUUAAUUCGCGAUUAAUACGCGAAUUAUACGCGUAUUUUUUAAAAUACGAAUUAAACGGCGAAUUUCGUAUUUUUUCCAAAAGUUUGAAAAAAAACGCGAUUUUUUCGUCAAAAAUCAUUAUUCGCGAAUUAAUCGCGAUUCGCGAACAAUUCGCCCAAAAAAUCGGAUAUCGCGGUCGCGGACUUGCGGCCGAGGGUCGCAUCGUCGCCGUUCUUGUCACCGCUCGCGUCGCCGCCGCUCUCGUCGCCGCUAGCGUCGUCGCCGCAGCUCUCGUCGCCGCUUGGGUCGUCGUCGUCCUCCGCCGCCCUCGCCGGCGCCGGGAGCAAGGGCCGCGGCGGCGGAUCCCAUCUCCUCGCCCGAGUCGUCUCCAAAAUGGGAAAGAUGAACAGUAAAAAUUAUCGGGGCUUUNCAAAAACUGCUAUGUAAUCUCAAGCGUAUCGUCUACUGUUUGAACUUCAAAUUCUUCGGCGCACAUCUAGUUUUGAAUUUUCAGGCCUCGCCAAAGGUUCUAUCCGAAAUCACUUUUUUGCGCAUCCUAUCUUAUCAAAAUCAAGGUCUUUUGCCAAAGCCGGCCUCUAGCUGAAACAACCGUUAGCACAACAGUCUAUUGAAGCUUAAGCCUUAUAUCGAAGCCCUUUUUGACACUACAUAUUUAGUUUCCUCGAAUUCGUCCUUUUCUGGGUAACAAAAUUAGGUAUUAGCAGUAAUUUUUUUAUUAUUAUUCUCGAUUAUUUGAGACCCAUGUAAUAGGAUAAAGACUAUCCUAUAGCAUAUAAAUUGCACUUAUUAAUUCUAUCAAACUGAUAUGCAUUCUAGAAUGAGAAAGCUCGUUCAACAAUAAUUUAGUAAUCAUUAAUUAGAAAUGAAAUGGACAAAAGUUUUUGCACUUGCAUAUUUGCAUAAGGUAAAAUUAUUUGAUUUAAUGAUAUCUUUCUAAUUUUUAUGCACAGAAUAAUACUAGCUAUUUGACAUGAUCUCUCUGAAAUCAAAGGGAACUCCAAAGUUGAAGAGGCUAGCUAUUCAAAUCUAUGAUAGUUUGAAGGAAUUUUUUUUAAAAAAAAAAUUCCUUUGACAUAAAGAUGGGUUUUAGGAUUGUGAUCCUUAGUGCACCGGGUGCAUGCAAUAACUUUUGUCGUCCUGAACGGUUAGUAGGGGCGGAAUCCGCAUUUGGCGGCCAGGGAAGGGUCACGGAAAACCUGGGACGUUCAGUAGAUGUUUAUGGGAAUCAGAUUGAGGUGGCGAGUGUGGUGGUAGCCCACUAAGAGCUCAUGAGCGACGACAAGAUCAAGCUCCGGCCUUACCUACCACGCUACACAGAAGAAGUGGGCAUGGGAGUGGGUGGCAACGACUGCUAUGUUUGUGUGUGGGCCCGUCGAGGGAUGGGCUCAACUACUAGAAUUCUGACACGUGCUUCUUCCUGGCAGGAUAUAUGAAAUAAGUGUAUCUAUAUAUUAAUAUAUAUCUAAAGUGGGUGGAAGAAGAUAUGGAGAAGACGUAUGAUAUGGACACAUAUUGUGUUGGCUAAUUCGGUGCACCCGGUGCACCAUAAACCAUACCAAGUGGCCGGAGAAGAUGCGGAGGAAACACAUGUUGUGUUCGUUAAUUCGGUGCACCCAAUGCAUCGUAAACCAUACCCAAAUAUCAUAAACUUUAAUCAAUUAAUAAACUAAAAUUUUAUAACAUUUAAUAUAUAGACAUUUUGAAUAUCAGAAAAUGCAUUUAACAAAGCCACAUUUAAUAUACUAUAAAAUAAAUUUAGUUAAUUAAAUUUUAUUUUAAAAUUUUACUUUUUAUAUUUCUAUCAUACAAAUUUACUAAUAAAUGCCAUUAUAAAUAUGUGUUCAAUACAUAUAUUUAACAGUAAUAUAUACUAUAUGUUACAAAUAUAAUUAAGAAUAUUUUUAUCGAACCCACAGCAAAACGCGGCUUUAUUGCUAGUGUAUAUAUAUACAGACAGAGCAGAGGACCAUGUAAAAUUAAGGUUCAACGUACGACUACAAAUUUAUUAUUAUUGGCUCAAAUGUGCCAGCAUUUUACCUUGUAGCUGGAGGCUUAGUGAGCCGAAUCACGUUCGAAAUGUUGUGAGACCGGAUUUGGCCAAGUCAUAUCUGAAGUGGUGUGAGGUUGAUUGUGCUGAAUCACAAUCGAGAUUCGUGAAUGCUGUAUCUAUAUUUUAAGUGAAUUGGUUGCGUAUUUCUAACAAUUCGAGCUUUUGAAAUUAAUGGUUAAUGCCAACGAUCGAGUUUUUAGGAUUAACGGUUAGCACCAACAAUCCGACAAUUACAAUUUUGUUACGCAAUGUAUUCCUAUUUUAUUUACUACCAAGUUAUUCCAUUUUCUAUCAUACUAGUUAAUUUUCUCCGUCCAACUUCCACGUCUUAAACUUAGUUUCCACGUCAAUCACAGUUCCAUAGUUUAUUUAAUUUUCAGCAACAAAAUGAAUGAAAGUGUUAAAAUCUAUCUUUUAUAGACUUUCUCCAAUAAAAUCAAAUAUUUAGUGUUACACUACCAUCCAAAAUUUUAUCACUUUAUAUACAACAGAUUUUAUCACUUUAUACAACAGUCGUGAUUAACACAAAUGUCUACGAGCUAAAAUUCUCUUUGGUUCCUAUAGACUCUCCAAAACACAAAAAAAAAAGAAAAGAAAAGAAAAGAAAAGAAAAAAGAAAGAUGAUCAUAAGACCUCAAUUUUUAAGGCUAUUUUAUAAUCACAUAUAACCGGUCAACAAAAGAAAUUUAAAAUUAGUGAGUACACAGUUAUAACAAGUAGAAAAUUCGUAGGCCCUCAAAAGAAUUUGUCAAAGGGAUCUCAUACAUUUCCCACCUUGGAAUCGUUCAGUGUUUUUUCCUUUUUCUUUUUCCUUUAUAUAUCUCAUGUUGUUUCUCAGACUAAUUCCUCUUGCUUCUCCAGUUGUUCAAAUUACCACGAAAGCGUACGUUUCAAGUAAUUUAAGAGAAAAUAUACACCCACCUGCUAGUGCUGUGGGUGUGUACAUUGGGAGGGCUAACUUGGAGGUUCGAGGUCUCGGGUAGGUACUUUGGGAAUUUAAUCCCCGCCCUCUCACGGGAAGGGGUGUAAACGAGCCGAACACGAGCGAGCUGGGGUCGGCUCGUGUUCGGCACGAGCUGGCUCGUUAAAGUAUCAAACCGAAAAAUUCAGCUCGUGUUCGGCUCGUUUAUUAACGAGCCGAAUACGAGCCGGCUCCCGAGCUUGCCACGAACAAUAAAUUAAAAGAAUUAGAUUAAAAUAUAUAUAAAAAUAAAUUAUCAAAUCUUAUCUAUUAGACUUUGAUCAAUAAUUGAAACUUACAUAUAAAUAAGUCUUUUUAUAAUUAAGCUCGUAUUUUUAUUUUUAUUUUGCUAAAAAUAAAAUAAUAAAAAUAUAUAUUAUAUAUAAUUAUUUUUUUAUAUAUAAAAAUAUAAAUUAAAUAAUUUAUAUAAAUAUAAAAUAUAUGUAUUCGAGCUAUUAUCGAGCCGAACACGAGCGAGCUGACCCCAGCUCAUGUUCGGCUCAUUUAUUAAACGAGCUGAAAAAUUCAACUCGUGUUCGGCUCGUUUACUAAACGAGCGAGCCGUUCUCGAGCUCAUUUUGAGCCGAACACGAGCUAACUCGCGAACAACGAGCUGGAUUGCCACCCCUACUCAUGGGUGGGCUUCGGGUAGGUGCGUGCUUGCCUUGCUGUGGGAAGGCUUAGCGGGACUAUGGGCCAUCAAAUGAAGAUUAAAAAAAAAUUAAUCUUUUUUUUAAAUAAAAGGAGAGCAAUGCAAAGACCCCUUGAACUUUAUCAUUUUUCAUAAACUGACAUUUGAACUUUUAAUUUUGAUAAGCACUUUAAACUUUAUUAAAUAGUUUAAUAAAUUAACUUACUCUCUUUGGUCCAAGUUACUAGUUACGUGGUCGUUUUGGUCCGUUACAUUGUAUGUAAUUUUGUAAAGAUUAGAAAUACAAAGAAAUAUAUUUAUUCCCUUGUUACGCACCAAAAAAAUAAAUAAAAAUUGAAGAUAAAUUUGCUGUAUUCUUAAAUUUCAGAUAUUUAAUUAUCAUCACUAAAAUAGAAAAAAAUAGAUUUUUUACUUUUCUUGAUGUUAUACAAAAUUAUAUUAUAGUGUUCUGCAACUCAGUAGCUCGGUCAGGAUACAGCUUAGAUAAUUGUUAGCAAGUUUGUAAGGUGUCGGGUCGAACUAGAUUUGUUUUAGCACGAAACGGACGCCAAAAUAUACUGGAAACCUUGCCUGCUAAAACUGAAAUUUCUAUAGGUUUCGAAUGCCCAGAAAGUAUUUAAGGAACCUGUAAGUCCUGUGCAGUUUUUGAUGUUACUUUGGACCCUAUUUCCGGAUGCUCGAAAAGACUGUAGCCAUUCGAAUUCGAGAUUGUGGCAAUCGGACCAUAGGCUCGACAGGUAUAGAGUGACAUACAUGACUUUCAAAUGCCAGGUUUUGGGUGCCCGAAAGCUUUUGGGCGCAGCUACAUGAAUCCGAGCUUCUCACCAAACGCUCGUGGAAUCUUCCAAGCAGAGUUAUGAUGCAUGGGCUAGGAUGCCCGAAAGCUCGAUUUGAUUGCCCAAGCCUAUGAAAUGAACGGGAGGGUUGCCCUUCACCUCUUUUUCACUGUUGAAUAACCAAAAACUCAUUGUACCCUUCUUCAUCUCCUGCUCCUUCCAUUCUCUUUCCUUUUGCUGGCACUCGAACUGUAGCAGAGGUCAGAAAAGCUCGGCUGGUGGUAAUUAAAGCUGCUUUGCUAAGGCUGGUCAUUGGGGACUUAUUCAUUGCAAUGAGAUAGGUGAAUUUAUUGGUCCUAUUAAAUUUUGGAAUGAGAUUUUGGUCGUGGGAAUUUGGAGAAAAUUUUGACUCAUGUUUUAGCAGUGUGCGGUUGCCGGUUGGAGUUUGUUCCUAAAGUGUUCGAUCAGAGUUCUCUUGUUUUUUUUUUUUUUUUUUUUUUUUUUUUUUUUUGUUGAGAAAAGGUAACACGCUACCCGCUUCAUUCAUUAAGAAAGUUGAAUUAAGCAUACAAGGUGGAAGGAGCCGAGGCCUCCAGAAAAAGCGAGAUAAAACAAAGCAGGGAAAAGAGAGAAGAAAAGAAAAAAAGAAGUCACGGUCCAGUGCGGGCAACCGAAGUUCAGCUAUCUAAUGCUGGCCAAGAUCGAUCCAAUCCCGCCUUAGUGAUUUGAUUCGAUCAAGCAUCUGAUAAGGUGUGGUGUAUAUCGCUCUAAAAAUGAUGUUGUUCCUUUCGGUCCAAACUACCCACCAGAUAGAUGCAAGAAGGGUUAGUCCCUUAAUUGUCUUCUUGGCGUUUUCGCAGUGUAGACACCUUUCCCAUAGUUCCCGGGCCGCCUCCAAAGGCUCAAUUAAAAUGUCGAGUUCAUCCAAGACUAGUAGUAAAUAUCUGAAUAACACACAGGUACUGAAGAGGUGAUCGCAAGUUUCCCUGGCAUUGGCACAGAAAACGCAAAGCUGCUCACCAAGCAACCCCCGGUUGACGAGCCUAUCCGCAGUGAGAAUUCUCUUCCGAAGUAGAAGCCAGAUGAAAACUUUGGUUUCAAUCGGAAUUUUCGUUCUCCAAAUAGAUAUGCUCGUCGAAUCUCUCAUUCCUGUGUCCAUGAGAAACAAGUAGAGGGAUUUGACGAAGAAUUGCAUAUUUGCUGUCCAACGCCAGUGGACGCAAUCAGGCCUGCUGAGAGGUUGGACGUCCUGUAAUGCGUUCUUCAGCUCUAAUAGACUUCAGCGCCUAUCUGCAGUAUGGUUCGCAGCAAAUCCGCGACAAAUGAAACGCUAACUCUACCCAUUAGUAUUCCAGCAAUGAGACACACUAACAUCCUUGUUUCUAACAUUGUCGUAGAUUUCUGGAAACUGAGUGCGUAAGGAGGUUUCUCCUAACCAUAUGUCGGACCAGAGCCUAAUAUCUCUACCGUCUCCUAUCUUAUGGAUUGUACCACAUUUGGAGAUGUCUCUGCAGAACAAUACACUCCUCCACCAUUAAGAGUGAGGGAGGAAGGAUCUUCCUUCAUGAAGAGGUGUUCGUCUAGUGUAGUAUAGAGACCUAAUCAGUUUGUUCCAAGGCGUUGAUGGUUUGUUGAAGAAGCGCCACCACCAUUUGGUUAAAAGCAUCAGAUUCAUAGCUUCAAGAUCCUUAAUCCCUAGACCUCCGUCUCGUUUACUUUUACAUACUGUUUUCCAGCUCACUAGGCAGGCCCCUCCUUUGACUUUCGAGUUGCCUUUCUGUCACGCCCGGGUACCAGCGGAAGCAUAGCCGGCACGUGCACAGACCCGCCAUACACCUGCAGUAUAUAAGGCGUCUACAAGCAGCAAGUCGAUAGGAAGUAAAACAAGAAAGUCCUAUCCUGAUAUCAGAGCAAAGUACAAGUCGAUAUACAACGAGUAUCCAAUCCAAGUCAAUAUACAAAGAGUAUACAAUCCAAGAUCUCAGCAAAAAGGAGAAGUAACACCACUAUAAUCUCAACCCCGAAAGUAAAAUAUACAUCAUGGGUAUACAAAAAGAAUAGGUACAACGGUGGUCUCUCUAUACAUAGGGACAUCACCCUCGGCCGUAGCCCGAGUAGCAAGGUGAUCGACUAGCACGCUCCUAGUAGUCCCUAGCUAGGCGCGACUCCCUUGCCACGAUCCCUAGCCUCUCCUGUAGAUGGCUCUGUAAAAACAACCACCAAAAGGGCGUGAGAACUAUUAACAAUAGUUCCCAGUGGGUAAGCCGCCAGCCUCGGCGAAUUACACCACUAGGCUCAUGAUGUACUGAAAUAAAGAAAAGCAGUAACUGCAUGAUAUAUAAGUAUGCAAUGCUAACAGAUAGUGAGCAUACCUUUCCAUUGCUAAGCAAUUAAUAUGCAUGUAAACAACAUGUAAUAACAUGUAAUAGCUUUCUACAGUCAUGAAUCAUUUGCAUAAUAGGAAUAUGGCAAUCUUUAUAAUCAUGAAUAUAGACAUGAUUAUAAGCACAAACAUGUAAGUGACUACUGUACACUUCAAUUAAUAAGCAUUCAUUACUGUCCUUUCAUUCACAGGGACCUACCCAAGGUAGUCCAGCUUGCGCCGCGCCUAAUGGCCCCGUGGUAGUAUACACUCCCCACGGCAAUCCACUUCGGCACCCAAUCCCGCACGGGCGAGCAACUGUCGCAUAGGCCAACUCCGGAGUGCCGGCUUGUAGGGAGCUACCCUCACAAGCGUGUGCGAAUGAGCACGAUGGCAAGCAAGCAAAGUCCAAAGCUCAAUACGUCUCACUCAUCACUUACCAACUGGCAUUGUUCUUGCUCUCGAUCCUUUGAUCGGAAUCUCAAUCUCAAUAUAACAAGUAUUGAUAACAGCUAGUAUCCACUAGAUUAAUAUACAUGCAAGAGUAUUGCUACUUUACAUCAGGCAAUAUACACAUAAGCAUAAGCAUGUUGUCAUUCUCUACGUUAGAGUCAUGAAUGUGUCAUAAGGAUGUCCUGGUUUUCUAUUUUCUAGAAACAUGAUAACUUGUCCAUUAGUCACUCAACCAAAUUAAACAUGUAUAUAUAAAGACUUAUACGCAUGAGUAUUCUCUACUUCAUAGAGAUUUCAAUUCAAUUAUAUAGAUCAACACGAUAAUCUAGUGACUCGUCACAAGUUCUAUAUCAAUCACAAAAUCAUACAACGGUAUCAAUUCUAUAGCACAUAUAGAACAUAGGGGAGCUCCACUUGCUCUGGUUAGGUCAAACCCACCUAGUACUAGGCUCCAAAUCAGUUCAAGGAGUCCCAAGGAUCAGCUCCACUAGGUCAAUCCUGCUGAACACAAACAUCAAUACCGCGUCAAAAUUACGACCGGAAUAUCCGAUUUCGGCCUAAAUUACGCUUCAUACAAAGGCAUCCCGUAAAUCCCUAUUUGGGCUAGUGGAAUACCUCAAGUGUAACCUCCAAGAGUCCUCACAAGGCAGUCGAAGACGAUCCAAGGCUCGAUCGCGAUCUCGCUGCGAACAAUACCAAAACGACGUCAAAAUGUAUGUAUACACGCUUAUAUGGUUCAAUUCUUGCGAAACUGGAUUUCCAACAGAAAUUCCUGCAUACCCUUGGUUAGAACACCUUCCAAACCAGCUUCUAAGAGUACAAGUUCAGCUCAACGAGACUCGAAGACCUGCUGCGAAGAAAAAAUUCCAAAUUACAUCAAUAAUCCACGUAUAGUUCCGAUUAAGCUUCAUACAUGGCUAAAUAUUCCACUUAAGCUUCAAAGUAGCUUAUCCCUGGUCUAAGAAGGUUAAUUCACAGCUAAUUAACUCAUCUUUAAUUGCUGAAAUCUCAGCUUAACACAGCAAGAAGCAAAAACCCGAAAUCAUUGCUUAAAUCGACGAAUAGAACGUUGAUAACGGCGAAAGUGAGUCGAUUACCUUCUCAAGCUUCCAACCAGUGACCUGCUGGUUCAGAGCUGCGAAAAACUCUCCAAAAUACUCCCUCACACGUCCACGUAGGCCCUGCGACGCUCGCAAACAGCGAAGAACGCACGCGGCGACAAAAACGAGCGAAAUCGGCGAAGUCGACGUAGAGAGAGAAAAACCCUAGAGAGAGAGAGAGAAGAAGGGAAAAGAAGCUUUCUCAGAGCUCUUGCAUACUCCACUGAAGUCCCAGAGUCGUGCUAGGAUCAAAUAGGUAGGGAUCAAGUGUGAAAUUACCAAACUAGCCUUGCUGCCACGAAUCUGCCAGCUUGUACCGGUACAAGGUGAUGGCUGUACCGGUACAGCAAGCAGAAAAUGCUGAUUUUCGCAGAUCAAUGCAAUUUCUCACUUUUAACCCUCCAAUCACUCUCUAACUUGUUCAAAAACUUGUCCAAGUCAAUUAGAACAUGUAGGAUAGUUCCACACUUCCUUCCACAUACUCGAACUCUGCAAUUUGCAAAAGUUCAGUGUAUUACACUUUCUAGAAGAAGGCUCUUCGUAAAACUUCAAUCCGUACCUAAAUAAAGAUCAAUAACUCCAAUCUUAAAUUGAAGAAUUCAAUCAUCCAUUUUUAAAAUGUCGUUCGAUUUUGAUCGUUCAUUUUAUACCCGCUUUAUGGACUUUAUAACGAUUUUGAAAAAUUACGAAAUUUAUUUUCUAAAAGUUUCAAAUACUCUAGAUCAUGUUUAACGAUGUGGAUCGACGAUUCGAAAACCCCAAUAUCGAAAACAACUUAUGAGUACGAAUGGCUCUAUACUCAUAAGAGUAUACUAGCCCUACUAUAUAUAUAUAUAUAUAUAUAUGUGUGUGUGUGUGUGUGUGUGUGUGUGUGUGUGUACAAUAUCUUUUGUCCCAACCACCAUGGCAUUUGCACAAAUAUUUUCCACUUGUUUAUGUACCAUAUAGUAUAAUUAAUCAUGCUCUUAUUAAUUAAUCCGAUNCACACACACACACACACACACACACACACACACAUGUUUGUAUGUGUAGAUACAUUCAUGUACAUAUGUGUAUAUAUUUAUAUAUGUUUAUGUAUGUAUGUAUAUGUAUGUAUAUAUAUGUGUAUGUAUAUGUAUGUGUAUAUAUAUAUAUGUGUGUGUGUGUAUAUAUAUAUAUAUAUAUAUAUAUAUAUAGAGAGAGAGAGAGAGAGAGAGAGAGAGAGAGAGAGAGAGAGAGAGUAGGGCUACUAUACUCUUACGCUGUAGCAGGGAAAGAGACUUCACGAGAACCAAAAUAGAAGGAAAAAAAAAAGAGUGCAGCCUAUAUACUAUAUUCUAUGGAUAAAGGAUCAAAUUGAUAGAGAAAGCACCGUAAAGAUCAAUUAGCGAGCGGGGAAAAUCAAACUUUUGAAAUGCUUUUCGUAAGUCAGUGCAAGUAGGCAAAUGACUCUGGUUAUCAAAUGAUUGAACAACCGGGAUCAAUUAUGUCUUGGAAUCCUGCUUUGGUAUCCCAAGGGAUAUAUAAGGUAUCCUCCGGAUAAUUCAAAUCGAAGCAAAUAGAGCCCUUCGUACACAUAAGUUAUUUUCGAUGUUGGGCUUUUCGAAUCGACGAUCCACACCGUUAAAAAUAAUCUAGAGUAUUUGAAACUUCUAGAAAAUAAUCUAGUUUUAUAGUCGGUCCCUCAAUAUAGGUGAGCAGCAAAAAAAUAUUCAGUUUAAACCAAAUUAUCAAGUCAAACUGACUAAUAAUUUGAUUUUCAGUUUGGUUAUAUGCAUAAUUCGAACUAUUUUGGUUUAAAAGGUAGGAAACUAGAAAAAGCAAAUCAAGUGAAUUAACAAAUUUUUGAUAAUUUUAUGUAUAAAUUAUAAUUAAAUAAUGAGAGAGUCAAAUUCUUUUCUGAUAAUACAUUUUUUAGAUAAAAUUAAUAAUGUUUAUACGCUUUAAUUAAGAAAGAUAUCUAUUCC